RNAcentral lists this long non-coding RNA (555 nucleotides) under Ananas comosus (pineapple). Its description in RNAcentral is "long non-coding RNA (ACOM_LNC038104)". The record is from RNAcentral. Lineage: Eukaryota; Viridiplantae; Streptophyta; Magnoliopsida; Poales; Bromeliaceae.
UGCUCUGUUACUCUCUUGUAGUGUUUCAUGUAUUGUUGCAGGUGCUUCUAUCGCUUCGUGUACACAAGGCUUCCUGUGUACGCGGUGGAUCUGUUGGCGAGCCCGAGGAAUCCUCGACCCCGGGGCGUGACAGAUAUUCUUCCCAAAAGUUCUAUAUUGUUGAAAAAUCUAAUUCUGCCGAAUUUUCUUUGUUGAUAUUAUUCUCAAAAGUCCCGUAUUGUUGAAAAUCUAGUUGUUGUUGAAAUAUGUCGUAAAAGGAAUGUGGAGUAAGUAGACUGUGAAUCAUUCACUAUCACAUAAAAACGGCAAAUUAUUCGUUGGCUUAAUUUCUUUCUAUCCCCGCCACCUCACGUUCCAAUUAAGUUUGUAAGUUAAUAAUAUAAUGAAUGUGGUAGAGUAAUCUUGAAAACGGUGAAUGGUUUACUAGUUUAUGAAUGACGGUGAAUAAUUUACUUCUUUAAUUAAAAAUUUAGAAGAUGGUGAAUAAUUUAUCGUCUUUUUAAAUACAGUGCAAUUUUAUUUACUAUGGCAUUGAGUUGAUCGAUAAGAAGAGAA